This 253-nucleotide ribosomal RNA is filed under the name uncultured prokaryote. RNAcentral's name for it is "partial 16S ribosomal RNA". It matches the Rfam family "Bacterial small subunit ribosomal RNA", at positions 524 to 776 of the family's 1533-position model. The record is from RNAcentral.
GACGAGCUCUCCAAACGUUAUUCGGUAUCACUGGGCUUAAAGAGUUCGUAGGCGGUCUCGUAGGUGAGGUGUGAAAUCCCUCGGCUCAACCGAGGAAUUGCGCUUCAAACCGUGGGACUAGAGGGAGACAGAGGUAGGCGGAACAGAUGGUGGAGCGGUGAAAUGCGUUGAUAUCAUCUGGAACACCGGUGGCGAAAGCGGCCUACUGGGUCUCAUCUGACGCUGAGGAACGAAAGCUAGGGUAGCGAACGGG